Molecule: ribosomal RNA, 253 nt
Filed under: uncultured bacterium
Lineage: Bacteria
Description: partial 16S ribosomal RNA
Rfam family: Bacterial small subunit ribosomal RNA
Source: RNAcentral
UACGAAGGGGGCUAGCGUUGCUCGGAAUCACUGGGCGUAAAGCGCACGUAGGCGGAUUGUUAAGUCAGGGGUGAAAUCCUGGAGCUCAACUCCAGAACUGCCUUUGAUACUGGCGAUCUUGAGUCCGGGAGAGGUGAGUGGAACUGCGAGUGUAGAGGUGAAAUUCUUAGAUAUUCGCAAGAACACCAGUGGCGAAGGCGGCUCACUGGCCCGGUACUGACGCUGAGGUGCGAAAGCGUGGGGAGCAAACAGG